This 476-nucleotide ribosomal RNA is filed under the name uncultured bacterium. RNAcentral's name for it is "bacterial SSU rRNA". It matches the Rfam family "Bacterial small subunit ribosomal RNA", at positions 28 to 507 of the family's 1533-position model. The record is from RNAcentral.
GACGAACGCUGGCGGCGUGCCUCAAACAUGCAAGUCGAGCGAGGUGAAACCGAACCGCAAGGUGAGGUUGAACCUAGCGGCGAACGGGUGAGUAACACGUGGGUAACCUGCCUGGAAGAUCGGGAUAACGGCUCGAAAGAGUCGCUAAUACCGGAUAAUGUCCUGGUGCUGCAUGGCACCGGGAAGAAAGGGGAAACCCGCUUUCAGAUCGGGCCCGCGCCCCAUCAGCUAGUUGGUAAGGUAACGGCUUACCAAGGCGACGACGGGUAGCCGGUCUGAGAGGACGAUCGGCCACACUGGGACUGAGAUACGGCCCAGACUCCUACGGGAGGCAGCAGUUGGGAAUCUUAGGCAAUGGGCGAAAGCCUGACCUAGCGACGCCGCGUGAGGGAAGAAGGCCUUCGGGUCGUAAACCUCUGUCAUGGGGGACGAAGAAAGUGACGGUACCCCAGGAGGAAGCCCCUGCUAACUACGUG